GCGUGAGCGUGUAAGGUAGCGUAUAUAAUAGCCUCUUAAUUGGAGGCCAGUGAAUGGCAAGACUAGGAACACCUUUACCUUUUGUAUUAAAAAAACUUUUCAUCUAAGUGAAAAGACUUAGAUAAUAUAGGAAGACGAAAAGACCCCGCGGAACUUUACUUUUUAUUACACCUACACCCAAAAGUAUAAAGUAUCAAAAGUUUGAUUGGGGCAAUCUCGGAACCAACAAGCUUCCGAUUACCGUAACAAAGUAUCAAAAAUCUGGUAUAGACAAAACAGAAGUUACCCCGGGGAUAACAGCGUUAUCCAACUUAAGAGUACACAUCGAAAGUUGGGUUUGCGACCUCGAUGUUGGCUUAAGGCACAUCCACAUUAGUGCAACCGCUAUGAAAGGAUAGUCUGUUCGACUAUUCAUACCCUUACACGAGCUGAGUUAAGACCGGCGUAAGCUAGGUUGGUUUCUAUCUCCUGUAUAAACACCCAUUCUUGAUGUACGAAGACC
RNAcentral lists this ribosomal RNA (502 nucleotides) under Obovalis omiensis. Its description in RNAcentral is "partial 16S ribosomal RNA". It matches the Rfam family "Bacterial large subunit ribosomal RNA", at positions 1940 to 2677 of the family's 2925-position model. Lineage: Eukaryota; Metazoa; Mollusca; Bivalvia; Unionida; Unionidae. The record is from RNAcentral.